This 253-nucleotide ribosomal RNA is filed under the name uncultured bacterium. RNAcentral's name for it is "partial 16S ribosomal RNA". It matches the Rfam family "Bacterial small subunit ribosomal RNA", at positions 524 to 776 of the family's 1533-position model. The record is from RNAcentral.
UACGGAGGGUCCGAGCGUUAAUCGGAAUUACUGGGCGUAAAGCGUGCGCAGGCGGUUUGUUAAGCGAGAUGUGAAAGCCCCGGGCUCAACCUGGGAACCGCAUUUCGAACUGGCGAACUAGAGUCUUGUAGAGGGGGGUAGAAUUCCAGGUGUAGCGGUGAAAUGCGUAGAGAUCUGGAGGAAUACCAGUGGCGAAGGCGGCCCCCUGGACAAAGACUGACGCUCAUGCACGAAAGCGUGGGGAGCAAACAGG